GUUACUUUCUAGUUUGUUUACCUAUUCAUAUGAGAACUACUUAAAACAGUGCUAGUAUUUGCCAAAAACUUGUUUGUACUUCCAUUAGUGACUGAAUGUUAGUGUGAUUUUUUGUGGUUAUUGACAGCAUUAGUACUAACAUAUUAUACCGAUUAAAUGGGACACUAAGAUUGUUGUAUUAUAUUAUAAAACAAUAACAGUGCAAGCUUUCGCUUUUGUUUUAAUGUUUUUGUUUUCUUUACUUCUAUUCUGUUCUAAAUUCUCUCGAGCAAUCUGAUUUUUUUGUAAUGAGUACUACUGUCUCGGCACAGGUGGAUAAUCGUGGGUGUAUUGAUCUUAGUGGUCUGUUGAAAGUUUCGACAGGUUAUGCGGAAACUGGUAUGCUUAGCCUCCUCUGUACAUCAUCAAAAAAACGCUGGAUAAUAGAAAUCCUAAAAUGUAAUUGUUUUCCGCUGGAUGACACUAUAAUGCCCUUGCAUGGCUGCAUAUGCAUAAAAAACUUAGGGUUAAGUCAUCCAGCGGUUUUUUUUUCUGGUGGUAGUAUACCCUGACAUACAAAUGUCAGGGACCCGGACCCAUGUGCUAUACUGAUGCAUGUAUUUUUCCUACAAGACCCAAAUAUUUAGGAACCACGUUUGAAUAUUCUAUGUAAAUUUAUUUGAGGGAAUAAGAUGCUAUUGAUCAUCUGUAAAUUCAUACAGUAUAAGUUAUCUUUCUUAAAAUCUAUCAUUAUCGCAGAUUGUGUUUGCAAAAUUAUACUUCAUAGUCAAUUGAUGUCUUUAUUUCUACAGUGUCACUGUCUGUCUUAUCGAACGAAAAAACUGUCUUUAGCGAGGAGUCCCAAACUGAGAAAAUGAUGAUAAGAGUUGCAACUGAGGUAGUAACUUGUCUUUCUUUAUCUUUUAUGUUUUUCCAUUUACAUUUGACCAUUCAGUUAAAAAUAUAUGGUUAUAUUUGGAGAGUUCUUUAAACCUACACUUGAUCUUCUUUAUCUUUUGUACUCAGAUACCUGAGAAGUGUUUUACUGGCUCUCAACUGGAAAAUGUUGUGUUUGAAAUUGUCAAAUCUGAUGGUGUUAUCGACGAAACAGUAAACGAUAAUGAGAAGGGUGAUAUGUCCCAUGCUCUAGUAUUGAAGUCGGACUCAACAGAUUUAGAUGAUUCUGUGAAAUAUAGCUUUCGUCAUGGCUGAUGCCCUGUUUGUGCUAUUCCGCUUCCUCAGAUAGAAGGAAGUUUCUCCUUUCUUGCUGCACAUUCUCGCUACCCGAAGCUUAAUGUGUGACCAUAACGGUCUGCAAAUUCUUUCUUGCAAAUUUUGUUAACAUAAUCAUGACCCCUAUACUGAUAGCUGUCAUCUUUCUGUAGGUGCUUGUAGAGAAAGCUCCUGAAAUCGUGUAUGACAGUAGCCAGCCUCAGUGUACUCAUGAAGAUAAUUUAUUCCUUGAGAAGCCAUCCAAUAUUCCAAUUUGGAAACUCCAAAAGUUCAGCAUGACGAUUGAUCAAUAGAGCUGGUAACAAGCCCGGAAUCUGCCUAGGACAUAGAAACUAUAGCUGGAAGCCUUAACAACGAACAAAAUGUAAGGUGCCAUGUAUACGGUGAAACUGUGCAGGACCCUUUUAUUACUGUGAAUAAGAAUAGAAACUAAAAAAGGAUGUGUAGUGACUAGUGAUUGUAUAUGUUAUAUGUUCUUUUUAUUUAAGAAUGUCAAUGGAUAUCUUAUAUCACCUGCAAGCCUUCUAAGGAACCACAUGAGUAUAUUUUUUAUUAAUACUGUAUUAUGAUGAUAGGUUUAUCUUAUAGCCGGACUUCUACUAUCUUCGCAAGUCUUUUCUUUGUUUGAGGUGUGCCUCUCGCCUUGCAGGAACUUAUGGACAAGAUUCUGAAGUAUGCAACGUACAUUGGAGAGCAUGAGAAAACGAUUAAAAUGCUCAAUAGCCAGCGAGAGGCAUUUGAGCAAGCCCUGGCCAAAAUGCAAGGUAAAGUGCCACAACUUUAGAUAAUUUAAGUUACAUAAUUUAGAAGAUUUUUGAUAUAGAUUUGGCAAAUUGGGAUGAUUUGGAGAACCUGGCUCAGGAAUUUCUCCCUGAUUUUUUUUUUUCUUGUGAUGAUGAAAAGGAAAGCAAAGACCUAGCAGCAAAUGCAAAAUAAGAGCAGCGGAGUGUUGGGGGGAAGGAAAUGCUUUGAAGCUGGCUAUUCUUCGGAUCAUAGUGGUGACAACACAUGAUCCUGAUGAUCAGACGACUAGCACAGGUAUGAAUACAAAAGAUACAUUUAAAAAAAUAUAUAUUUCCCUCUCAGAAUUCAUAAAAUAAAGUGACAGAUUAUUAGCAUAAUUUACAUGAACAAGUGUAAAAAUUGAUCAGAAACAUACCUUUACUAACCGAAUAUGUGACUGUUAUCAAAAUUUUAAUCUCUCUAAAGCUUAUAUACACGUUUAAGAACACUCAAAGAAGCCCGAAACCUGAAUUGUCACCUAACUUAAAUGAUAAAUGUAUUACAUGAUUACAGUUAGUAGUAAUCUCUACAACCUGAAGAAACGCAAGCCUUUAUCAACAUUAUCUUGCCUAAAGGCAAGAAUCCCAAAUUUACAGAUCUAAAUUUCAGUCUGAGUCUAAGGUCAAGUAUUUAUUUCAUAAUAACGUAAGCUCUUUGGUAAGGGUGCUAGUCAGCUCUCAUAUAAUAUGUAUCAAGUAUAAGCAAAUUCAAUAGAUAUCAGCAUGCUGUAUUUGUUUAGGAUCCUAACUCCAUUUUACAGUAUUAAACCCAAAUCAACAGAUCCUUCACUACGGACAAAUAUCAGCUGAUUGAAUAAUCAACUAAAGGCCUGAAUCCAUUGUUGGGAGCAACAGAAAGAAAACUAUCAAAAUACACAAAGUAGCAAAUUCCACAUAUUCUAUCUAUUGGGAUGAUUUGGAGAACCAGGCUCAGGAAUUUCUCCCUGAUUUUUUUUUUCUUGUGAUGAUGAAAAGGAAAGCAAAGACCUAGCAGCAAAUGCAAAAUAAGAGCAGCGGAGUGUUGGGGGGAAGGAAAUGCUUUGAAGCUGGCUAUUCUUCGGAUCAUAGUGGUGACAACACAUGAUCCUGAUGAUCAGACGACUAGCACAGGUAUGAAUACAAAAGAUACAUUUAAAAAAAUAUAUAUUUCCCUCUCAGAAUUCAUAAAAUAAAGUGACAGAUUAUUAGCAUAAUUUACAUGAACAAGUGUAAAAAUUGAUCAGAAACAUACCUUUACUAACCGAAUAUGUGACUGUUAUGAAAAUUUUAUUCUCUCGAAAGCUUAUAUACACGUUUAAGAACACUCAAAGAAGCCCGAAACCUGAAUUGUCACCUAACUUAAAUGAUAAAUGUAUUACAUGAUUACAGUUGGUAGUAAUCUCUACAACCUGAAGAAACGCAAGCCUUUAUCAACAUUAUCUUGCCUAAAGGCAAGAAUCCCAAAUUUACAGAUCUAAAUUUCAGUCUGAGUCUAAGGUCAAGUAUUUAUUUCAUAAUAACGUAAGCUCUUUGGUAAGGGUGCUAGUCAGCUCUCAUAUAAUAUGUAUCAAGUAUAAGCAAAUUCAAUAGAUAUCAGCAUGCUGUAUAUGUUUAGGAUCCUAACUCCAUUUUACAGUAUUAAACCCAAAUCAACAGAUCCUACACUACGGACAAAUAUCAGCUGAUUGAAUAAUCAACUAAAGGCCUGAAUCCAUUGUUGGGAGCAGCAGAAAGAAAACUAUCAAAAUACACAAAGUAGCAAAUUCCACAUAUUCUAAUUCAUAAACAUAAGUGAAUAACGAGUGAUAUGGGCGGAAAAUGACAAGAAACGCAUAACAGGCAAUCACCUUUAGUCUUGAGAUUUCGAGUAUGAACAAUUAUUAAAGUGCAAUACUCCACAAUCAAGUAUCUGAUUAUUAACAAUCAGAUUUCGAGUAUUAACAAUUAUUGAAGCGCAGUACUCCACAACUAAGUAUUUGAUUAUCAACAAUAUUAUAUUGUUGAAUUUGCAGCAUUUCCAUGGUUUUCAGCUUUCAUGUGAACCAGUUUGGCACCUUGUGUGUCAAACAAGGUGCCACACUCACUGCAUUGAGUGGCCCCCUUCAGCUGCAGUUUGCGAUGCACAGCGCGGUUAUGUGCUUCCAUUCCAAAUUUGCUGACAAAGUUCUUCCUAUCGCAAUCAGUGUUAUAGCAAGUGAAUGCCAUCUGUCAAGUCAAAGUCAAAGUCAAAGUUAAUACUAGUUCAUGUAUAUUUAAGUUUGCGAUUUCAAAUUCGUAAUGAUCAAUAUUAUGAUCUACAAGCUUGCAAUUUCACAUUUAUGGAUAUGAACACUCCAGUAGCAACAGGAGACAGUACAAAUUAACAGUAAUAAUAGGAGAUAAAGAGCUAUGUAUCAACAUCAAAUCAUGAUCUGCAAGUGUCUACGAUUUGCAAUUUGUAAUUAAUGUAUUAACACUCCUAUAUAUUAGCAAUAACAAUCGAGACAUUUUUGUGAAAAUCACACCUGAGAUUCCAGAUUUGGGGCACGAGAUUCCAGAUUUGCUGACAAAGUUCUUCCUAUCGCAAUCAGUGUUAUAGCAAGUGAAUGCCAUCUGUCAAGUCAAAGUCAAAGUCAAUACUAGUUCAUGUAUAUUUAAGUUUGCAAUUUCAAAUUCGUAUGAUCAAUAUUAUGAUCUACAAGCUUGCAAUUUCACAUUUAUGGAUAUGAACACUCCAGUAGCAACAGGAGACAGUACAAAUUAACAGUAAUAAUAGGAGAUAAAGAGCUAUGUAUCAACAUCAAAUCAUGAUCUGCAAGUGUCUACGAUUUGCAAUUUGUAAUUAAUGUAUUAACACUCCUAUAUAUUAGCAAUAACAAUCGAGACAUUUUUGUGAAAAUCACACCUGAGAUUCCAGAUUUGGGGCACGAGAUUCCAGAUUUCGUAGCGCUUGCGAGAAAAUAGGAUCCUGAGUUUGUUUGAGGGUUGAAAUUGAAUCAAGGGUUUUUAAACUGUAAAAAGUAACUAUUUUACUAUUAUUAUAUAUUAUAUUAUAUAUUAUAUUCAUGAUUUUUCAAAAAAUGAAAUACCUUUUUAUAUUUAAUUCGAUGGUUGAUUUUUUUUUUUUUUAUAAUAAUACGAAAACUGAAAUUUAGUUAAGUUUCGGUGAUAUUUUGACUGAUGAAAGAAAUAUAAUAUUAAAGGAAUUAUUAUUUUUAUUGCUAGUAAUUAGUCGUGGCAGAAUUUUGAUAAUUGAGUUAAUUAUGUUAAUUAAUUGCCUAAUAUUAGGGUUUAUCCCAAACCGGUAGAAAUUAGGGUUAUAAUAUUUGGGGGUUUGGGGAAAUAGAUCGGAAAUAUUUGGGGGUUUGGGGAAUUGAGUGGGUUUGGUCGGAAGAGAGGUGAACGGUAACAAGGAGGAAGGCUCGCCAGUUACUAGAGAGAGAGAGGGGGGAGAAGGAUGGAGCGGGGAACAGCGGCGGUAACGCCGCCGGAGAGGGUGAUUCCGGCCGAUAGUCUGGGAGUUCAGCUCAAUAUAAGCUCCUCGAUUCAUAUAUUACUUUUGCAAAUAACAUUAGUAUGUGAUUUUUUUGAUUCAUGUAUUGCCAGACCACACUUGUAACUUCUCUAUCAUCAUUAUUACUUUUGCAAAUAACAUAGUUGACUUGCUUUUACAGAAACUGAUGGUGGUUUUUACCCAACCCAAUCAAAGGUAUGCGGAGUAAUUUACUUUCCUUUAAGUUACAUUUUUCUUCCUCCGAGCAUGAUGUAUGCUAGGAAUGUUUAUGUGUAUUUAUGUUUGUGUGUGUGGGCGGUUCAUGUUUAUAAGAGGAUCUUAGAAUAUUCAAGUAAAAUUUUAAGAUGCAUGUCACUUUCUCAGUAGGAAAAAUUACAUUACUGGCAUAAUUUGCUACAUGUUGGCUGUUUGCUUCAUCCCAAAAUUCCGUUAUUAAUUUUUGGAUGAAGCAUAUCCUCGAGGAAUAUAUUUUUAUUCAAUGCAUGAGUUUUUUUUGUUCAUGAUGGCGAUGAUUUCUUUGUUUUGUAGACUGGUUUAAGGCAUCACCAUCCUUAUACCAUUGCCUUAAAGAACUUUGGGAGCAAGAAUUCAGAGAAGGAAAGAGGUAUUUUUAUUGCUUCUAAUUACUUAAAGCUGCUUUAGUGUUAUUUUUGAAGUCACUCAUGAAUUAAUACAUCUUGGACUAAUCUUCAGAUGUACAUGUGGCAAUUUACAAAGAUGGGAAGAAACUGUCACUUCAGCAAAUGGAGAAACAAUAUCAAGAGUGGAUUCUCGACAUGCAUAAUAUAUAUGAUGAAGAAAGUGAUUGUGGUGAGGAUGAGCCUGUUAUCAUCAUUAAUCCCUCAAACAGGAAACAGCUGGGGAUUUCUUCAGAUGGUAAGUUGUAACUUCUAAGAUACAUGCCACUCUGGUGUAGCUAUAAUGUUGUCAGCAUUGGCUCACUACUCUUGUGGAAUUUAUUUAGGACUAGUAGUUUAGAAACGUUACACACCCUUUUUAUUCACUGUUUGGUAAACUUAGUGUUCUACUUUUAUAGUUUUGCUAAAAUUUAUAUGACAGUUGUCAGGGUUCAUAAAAUGAUAAGGAGGAAGGGUAAAUCCUGGCAGGCAGGACAGAAAAUUAAAGUUUUGAAAGGAGCGUGUUAAGGAUUUUACAAGAACAAUAUCUAUGCUGUGCUAGAAUACAUUCUUUUAGAUGGUUAUAAAGGUGAUGCAGGUGGUAAGAAAUUUUGGACACAUGCAUAUCCGCACGAUCUUGAAUUUUUACAGCCAGUAAUAAAUGGCAAAAACCUUCGCUCAUAAUUACUAAACUGAUCUGUUAGUAUUCGAAAGAGUUAAUUGUACAUUGUUUUACAUGUAUACUUAUGAUUAAUACUAUAGAUUAUUGAUAGAACUUAAAUCAUAUCAAUUUGAAGAAUCUGAACCCAUCUUUUCUCCUUUCUUCCCGUUCGUUCUGCAUGAAGGGGAGUCUCGUAUUAUCUGCAGGUAUCUGAUAUUCCCCAGAGGAUUCUCAUAUACCAAGUUUUGUUUAAUGUGCUUAUUUUUGUCUUUUUAUUAACUUUUGGCGCUCCUUUUUUUUUUUUCCUUUUUUUUUUUGUAUUAUUACUUAAACAUCAAAAAGGCAGAUAGGUACCUCAGAAGAAAAGGGAUGCCUUCUUAUAGAUAAUGAGAAUGGAAAUCCAAGUAUAGAUAUCCGUGAAUCCAAAUCCUUGCCCAUUAAUAUUAUUGAUUCUGGAAAGGUUGGACAAUUAAAUUCAUACAAGUCAUGUUACAUUGUGCUUAGUUUCUUAAAUAUGAAGUCCUACUGAUUCUAUAUAAUUGGGGGGAUUAAUUGAUUGAACUUAUUCACACUAGUGUCUUUUUGUUGAAUCUGCGGAGUGGAGUUUACAACUUGAAAAGCUGCAGCAUAAAAUUCCCUCCUCAAUCGAUAUACUCUGUGCCCGUCAUUGUGAAAAACUGGAAGUUGAAGAGGUUAGUCUCAUAGUCAUUGUGUUUUUAACGCAUAUAUGAUAUAAGAUUUGGAUAUACCUCUGCAAUGACAUUGGGACAUGAUCUUCAGCUUUGUUUCUUGCCAUAUCCUGUUUUACUAGUUGUAUACAGUUUCUACUGCAACAAUCACCUAUUUGUAAUAUGAUGCAUUCGUUGCCUUUCGAUACUCCUGUAUUUGCCGGUCAUGCUGCUCCUGAUGAAGUUAACGCAGUUGUACGCCCUGCCUCUUUUAAUUGUGCAUUGGUGUCUGAAAAUCUGGAUCAGAAGCAUAUUGCACCGACAGACCUUAAUACACAAAGUGCAAAACUUAGAUUCAGGUAAGUUAGUUUCCAUCGAUAGUAAUCCUGAAUAUUUUUUAUAUUUGGGCAAAUCUGUGAAUUUAAUUAAUAUUUUGUUCUUUCAGGGUUGGUUCUUGUUUCCCCUCAAUUUCGAUUGCAUGCUAUGAUAAGUUUGGAAACCGCACUUCAUUUUUUACAUAUCCCUAAAGUGAUUGCCAAAGUUUUAUCAAAAGAGAUUGUCCUGUUUCAAUCUGAAAAGUUAAAUCCAGAUAUUUCAUCCAAAAAUUCAGUUCUCACAGUAGAGGUAAUAUUCUUUUCACAACUUCUUGUCCACUUUUGGAGUUAGCUUCUAUCCGCUCUAACGUCGUUCACAAAUUAACCUGUAGAACUUACUGGUUGAAAGUCACAAUCUGGACUUCAUACGUCCAAGCUAUGAAGCUAAACUAAUUUUAUACUCAGAAGAUGAACCCUUCUGCGUAAUCAUUCCCUGCCAAGGUGUCUCUUUAAACCAAUGUUAUAUAACUUUUCAUAUAUUUCCUUGCUUAUAUUAUCGACCUUAAAAGUAAUUACUCAACUUCUCGGUGGAUCUAACUUUAUCAUUUUCAUCAGUUAUUCCAGGAUCAAUACACCAUCUUAUUGCUAAGCCAAAAGAUUUUAUGAAGCAGCUAGUUCCAGGAAAUGUUAUUCAAGAUCUUGAACUGGAGGUGAUAGAUAUAUUAAGACCACAAAUCAGUUUCCAUUUAUGAAAUGUUGUUCAUUAAUGACAUACAAUAUUUAUCAUCCUUUCCUAGAAUCCCACGUAUCAAGACUAUUUUAUCUCUUAAUAGUUAAUUCUAUCUUUUAGCGAAUUAUUUUUUCAUGUUCAGUAUUUAUUGUUUAUUUUUAUUUAUGGAGCAUUGUACUCAAUUUAUUUAUUUUACAUAUCUAAUAUGAAGUUUUCUGAUAGGUCUUCGAUGUAUAUGGUAAUCACGUAAAACAAGAUACGGAAAAGUUGUUGGAUAUGGUCGGGUUUUGUUUUCAACAUAAAACAAAGAGAAUACAGGUAGAGUCCUGCCACUGAUCUUUAUUGUUACUUUCUAGUUUGUUUACCUAUUCAUAUGAGAACUACUUAAAACAGUACUAGUAUUUGCCAAAAACUUGUUUGUACUUCCAUUAGUGACUGAACGUGAGUGCGAUUUUUUAUGGUUAUUGACAGUACUAGUACUAACAUGUUAUAUCGAUUAAAUGGGACACUAAGAUUGUUGUAUUAUAAUAAAACAAAAACGGACUUGGCAAGUGCAAGCUUGUGCUUUUCUUUACUGUUUUUGUUUUCUUUACUUCUAUUGUGUUCUAAAUUCUCUCGAGC
This 9077-nucleotide long non-coding RNA is filed under the name Daucus carota (carrot). Its description in RNAcentral is "long non-coding RNA (DCAR_LNC001706)". The record is from RNAcentral. Lineage: Eukaryota; Viridiplantae; Streptophyta; Magnoliopsida; Apiales; Apiaceae.